UAACUUUGAAGAAUAUUUUAAAUGAGGUCGAUUGAAGAUUACUUGAAGUACUUUUGCUUGUUGAUUGGUUAAUCCAAGAGGAAAAUAAUAUGAGUUGGUGUCCAAAGUAGAAGAAGCCAUGAAGGGGAAGCAGCAGCAGCAGCCUCCUCCACAGCAGCAGUUGCAGAUUCAAAUAAUGCAGUGCAACAAAGGAAAAUCAAGCAAGUUCAAGAGAAGCAGUAAAUGGAAAUUCCCCUAUCAGAUCAUUAACGGCUACCAACUACUACAAAGUUUACAAAUAUGCAUGAUAUGUCAAUAGAAUGUGAAUUCUGCAACUGGUACUUGAACUCGGAAUUAAGCUCUUGGAUUUAUCAAAAUUGAGUGCACUAAGUUAAGACUCUGUGAGUUUCUGUGUAUCUGUUAGAGGUUUCCAACUACUACAAAGUUUACAACUCCUUUGGAUUUCUAUUGAUUGCUGCUCCAAUUGGAGAGGGCUUAGUUAUGGAUUUUCCUUGUGGAUCUUUCAGGAUUUGAUGUAACUAGGACAUUGCUCUUUUUGCUUUUUGGUAUAAUCAGGAAGUUGCCUUUGGUUGGAUUUUUCUUUUUGAUGUAAACAGUUGUUAAUUGUGUUAAAUGCUUUAACAAACAGAGUUUUUGUAAAUGGAUUUUUUUCUCAUUAAAAUGUAGUGGAUAUAUCAUAGAUGCAAA
Juglans microcarpa x Juglans regia is the source of this 687-nucleotide long non-coding RNA. RefSeq lists it as uncharacterized. Lineage: Eukaryota; Viridiplantae; Streptophyta; Magnoliopsida; Fagales; Juglandaceae. The record is from RefSeq and is a predicted model, not a curated record. The transcript has 2 exons.